CACGUAGGGUGCGAGCGUUGUCCGGAAUUAUUGGGCGUAAAGAGCUCGUAGGCGGUCCGUCACGUCGGAUGUGAAAUUCCAGGGCUCAACCCUGGACCUGCAUUCGAUACGGGCGGACUAGAGUUCGGUAGGGGAGACUGGAAUUCCUGGUGUAGCGGUGAAAUGCGCAGAUAUCAGAAGGAACAUCAGUGGCGAAAGCGGCUUCCUGGACCAGAACUGACGAUCAGGCACGAAAGCGUGGGGAGCAAACAGG
Molecule: ribosomal RNA, 253 nt
Filed under: uncultured bacterium
Lineage: Bacteria
Description: partial 16S ribosomal RNA
Rfam family: Bacterial small subunit ribosomal RNA
Source: RNAcentral